This 958-nucleotide long non-coding RNA is filed under the name Coffea arabica (coffee). RNAcentral's name for it is "long non-coding RNA (CARA_LNC002774)". Lineage: Eukaryota; Viridiplantae; Streptophyta; Magnoliopsida; Gentianales; Rubiaceae. The record is from RNAcentral.
CAGCCUCCUCAUCAUCAACAUCUUCCCCGAGCUCUCUUCCUUUCUGUCUCUGUCUCUGUCUCAGUUCUCUGGGAUUAAUUGAGGAUAUGGGCUGUCUGAAGUUUGUCAAGGAUGGAGUAAUCAGGCUGCCUCCUGGUUUUCGAUUUCAACCAACGGAUGAAGAGAUUGUCUUCCAAUAUUUGCUGCGUAAAACAUUUUCUUGUCCUUUGCCUGCUUCAAUCAUUCCUGAGAUCAAUGUCUGCAAGCAUGAUCCCUGGGAUUUGCCGGGUAAUUACCUCGAGAACUCAAUGCUCACUUUGAACUCUUACCAUAACCUUUUCAAUUUUCUUGUUUACCAUGAUUAAGCUGAUUUGAAAUACAACCUCAUCUUAAAUUAUGGAAAAACAAAUGGACUGUCUAGAAUGUCAGUCGAACGUGGGCACAAAGUCUUGCCCUUACUGGUGCUACAAAAUGUAUUAAGCUGCCCGGCUUAUAUAUGGGAAAUGGUAUUUGUCAUAAUUCACAUUUUAAUGCUGCAGCAAUUCUCGUAAAAACGAUAAUACUAUCUAUCCAAGUCAAAGUAGUAGUAUUAUUUGAUUUAACUUGGGAAGGGAAAGAUUGGUAUGGUAUCAAAAACUUGCUGCGGGUAUAUAAAUUUGCUGAUUUUCUUGACCUGCAUGAUAUUUGUAUAGGUGAUUUAGAGCAAGACAGAUAUUUCUUCAGCAACAAGGAAGCCAAGUACCCUAACGGUAACAGGACGAAUAGAGCUACUGAUACUGGCUACUGGAAGGCCACUGGUGUAGACAAACAAAUUGUGUCUUCCAGGAGAAAACCGCUGCUGGGGUUAAGGAAAACAUUGGUAUUCCACAAAGGGAAGUCACCGCAUGGCUCCAGAACGGAUUGGAUCAUGCAUGAAUAUCGCCUUAUCCUCACAGGAAAAACAGCCUGCUGCUCGCAACAAACUGCAAAAUCUUCUCAG